RNAcentral lists this ribosomal RNA (489 nucleotides) under uncultured bacterium. RNAcentral describes it as "partial 16S ribosomal RNA". It matches the Rfam family "Bacterial small subunit ribosomal RNA", at positions 28 to 507 of the family's 1533-position model. The record is from RNAcentral.
GACGAACGCUGGCGGCGUGCUUAACACAUGCCAGUCGAACGGUGAAGGGACCAGCUUGCUGGUUCUGGAUGAGUGGCGGACGGGUGAGUAACACGUGAGUAACCUGCCCCCUUCUUCUGGAUAACCGCAUGAAAGUGUGGCUAAUACGGGAUAUUCUGGGUCUGUCGCAUGGCGGGCCCGGGAAAGAUAUUGCUUCGGUGGGGGAUGGGCUCGCGGCCUAUCAGCUUGUUGGUGGGGUGAUGGCCUACCAAGGCGGUGACGGGUAGCCGGCCUGAGAGGGUGGACGGUCACACUGGGACUGAGACACGGCCCAGACUCCUACGGGAGGCAGCAGUGGGGAAUAUUGCACAAUGGGCGCAAGCCUGAUGCAGCGACGCCGCGUGAGGGAUGGAGGCCUUCGGGUUGUAAACCUCUUUCGCCAGUGAAGCAGGCCUGCUCCUUGUGGGUGGGUUGACGGUAGCUGGAGAAGAAGCGCCGGCUAACUACGUG